CAUACAUGCACAAAACUCAUUCUAGUUAUUUUUGGCGCAGUGCAUUUAGAAGCAUUCCGUAAGGGCGUCGCGGCCAUCAUUUUUUCGCUCUCAAAUUCUCUUAUUGAGCAAACUCUGCUUGAGCAGAGCUCAUUAGAAGCGGACUGCUUGAUGGAGACGAACGUUAGCGGACGAAUAAUUUAUACUAUAAGCUUAACGAAACACAAAAGGAUUACAACACAAACACACAAGGAUUAAAAUUAACUCCGCUGCACAUAUUUACAUAUGUAAAAUGCACAUUCCAAAGCGAACGGCUCGCUCACUUGGCGAAAAAAGGGAAUGUUUAAUUUAAAGAAAAUAUCGUAAUAAACUAAAUCGAAGAAAUUCUGUUUAAGAACCAUGCAUUUACUAAUAAUCUUUUUAUUCCCAACUAAUAAUUAAUAAAUUUUCAUGUACAAUACAAUAUUAUUUAUUUACAUCUCAUUACUUUUAACUUAUUUAUUUCUAAUUACUUAUAUAUAUAUUAUUUAGU
This is a long non-coding RNA of Drosophila subpulchrella, 511 nucleotides long. RefSeq lists it as uncharacterized. NCBI's taxonomy places the organism in Eukaryota, Metazoa, Arthropoda, Insecta, Diptera, Drosophilidae. The transcript has 4 exons. The record is from RefSeq and is a predicted model, not a curated record.